RNAcentral lists this transfer RNA (69 nucleotides) under Pristimantis festae. Its description in RNAcentral is "tRNA-Val". It matches the Rfam family "tRNA". Rfam says of the family: Transfer RNA (tRNA) molecules are approximately 80 nucleotides in length. Their secondary structure includes four short double-helical elements and three loops (D, anti-codon, and T loops). The record is from RNAcentral. Lineage: Eukaryota; Metazoa; Chordata; Amphibia; Anura; Strabomantidae.
CAGAACAUAGCUUAAAAAANGCACUUCGUUUACACCGAAUUAAUGUCCGUUAAACUCAGACUGUUCCGA